Aedes albopictus (Asian tiger mosquito) is the source of this 72-nucleotide non-coding RNA. The record is from Rfam. NCBI's taxonomy places the organism in Eukaryota, Metazoa, Arthropoda, Insecta, Diptera, Culicidae.
ACCUCGGUAGCUUAGUUUGGAAAGCACUUCUCUAGCAUAUAAGGGUCGUGUAUUCAAAUCUCACCUGAGCUG